UAUGGCUCAGAACGAACGCUGGCGGCAUGGAUAGGCAUGCAAGUGAACGAACUCCUUCGGGAGUGAGUAGCGGAAGGGUGAGGAACGCGUGAGUAAUCUGCCCCCCAGUUGGGAAUAACAGUUGGAAACGACUGCUAAUACCGAAUGUGGCUUAAGCUUCGCCUGGAGCUUUGGCUAAAGAUUUAUCGCUGGGGGAUGAGCUCGCGUCCCAUUAGGUAGUUGGUGAGGUAACGGCUCACCAAGCCGACGAUGGGUAGCUGGCCUGAGAGGAUGGUCAGCCACACUGGGACUGAGACACUGCCCAGACUCCUACGGGAGGCUGCAGUCGAGAAUCUUGGGCAAUGCGCGAAAGCGUGACCCAGCAAUGCCGCGUGUAUGAUGAAGGCCCUCGGGUCGUAAAGUACUGUCUCCCGUGACGAAAUUUGACGGUAGCGGGGAAGGAAGCCACGGCUAACUACGUGCCAGCCGCCGC
This 472-nucleotide ribosomal RNA is filed under the name uncultured bacterium. RNAcentral describes it as "bacterial SSU rRNA". It matches the Rfam family "Bacterial small subunit ribosomal RNA", at positions 18 to 518 of the family's 1533-position model. The record is from RNAcentral.